Molecule: ribosomal RNA, 422 nt
Filed under: uncultured bacterium
Lineage: Bacteria
Description: bacterial SSU rRNA
Rfam family: Bacterial small subunit ribosomal RNA
Source: RNAcentral
UGAGGAAUAUUGGUCAAUGGGCGAGAGCCUGAACCAGCCAAGUAGCGUGAAGGAUGAAGGUCCUACGGAUUGUAAACUUCUUUUAUAAGGGAAUAAAACGCUCCACGUGUGGAGCCUUGUAUGUACCUUAUGAAUAAGCAUCGGCUAACUCCGUGCCAGCAGCCGCGGUAAUACGGAGGAUGCGAGCGUUAUCCGGAUUUAUUGGGUUUAAAGGGAGCGCAGACGGGAUGUUAAGUCAGCUGUGAAAGUUUGCGGCUCAACCGUAAAAUUGCAGUUGAUACUGGCGUUCUUGAGUGCAGUUGAGGUGUGCGGAAUUCGUGGUGUAGCGGUGAAAUGCUUAGAUAUCACGAAGAACUCCGAUUGCGAAGGCAGCUCACUAAACUGUAACUGACGUUCAUGCUCGAAAGUGUGGGUAUCAAACA